GAGGGGGCAGUGGAGGGAGUAGUCGCUGGACCUCGGAGCUCCCUCAGCAGAUCGUCCCGAAGGUCCCUGACGAUCUCCUGUCGCAACUCCCAGAGCUGCUCAGGUGAUAUCCGGACUUCUAAUGGCUGAGUAGGUGGAGCAGUGGAGGGUCCGGCAGAGGUGGAUGGUGCUGAGGUGGAGGGAAAGGUGGGAAUGUCUGAAUCAGGGUCAGGAUUGGGGGAGUGUCUGGUAGUAUGUGUUGAGGUAGAUGGUUUCCUGACCCAGGUUCC
This 269-nucleotide long non-coding RNA is filed under the name Phoenix dactylifera (date palm). RNAcentral's name for it is "long non-coding RNA (PDAC_LNC010629)". The record is from RNAcentral. Lineage: Eukaryota; Viridiplantae; Streptophyta; Magnoliopsida; Arecales; Arecaceae.